Molecule: long non-coding RNA, 1293 nt
Organism: Cyprinus carpio (common carp)
Lineage: Eukaryota; Metazoa; Chordata; Actinopteri; Cypriniformes; Cyprinidae
Source: Ensembl
GGAAAAUCUGAAAAAAUCAAGAUCUCGUCACAUAAAUAUGAUUUGAAUAAAACUAUCUUUUGGCUCAUACUAGCUUUUGGCUCAUUUUCUUUUGGUCGGGAAGUCAAUGGUGACUGGACUGAAGACCUAUCACUGGAUGAACAUCAGACUGUAGAGUCAUGAGUUAUAAAGUCAGAAAAAAAGUCACUGAGAAAAAAAAAAAUAUUUUUUUAUUUUUCUUUUUUUUUUCAGUGGUGGAAACAGGCUUCCAUAGGUCACUGAUUGACAUUUUAUGACACCACCUGUUAUUUAUUUAUUUACAGACAUCAGUUCAUGCCGUUAUGAAAUCAGCACUCAGCUGGGAAGGCUUUUGAACUGUUUAUGCAGCAACUCGUUUGGACAAUGGCCUUCAGGCAGCAGUAAAACUCGCCUCCAGCAGGAACAUGAAUUCAUCAGCAUUGUAAGUAGGCUGCAGUUCUCUCAGUUUCUUCUCUGAAGUUACUGUUUUCAGUUUAAAACAUCUCUUAUUCAUCAUUAAUCAUAGACUCUCAAACUCAGAGUAGGUCUCAAACUCUGGUAAUGAGUGAGUCAGGCUCUCAUGAAGCAUCAUGGAGUACAAACCACUUUAUGAAUCAAUAGCAUCAAAUCAUUUCAUACAUGAUAAUGGACAUCUAGUUAAAAUGCAGUGUUAAUGCAAACUUACAAAUCAGACAAAAUUUCUUUCCUCCAGGCACAGAAGAGUACAGCCCUCCCGAGUAUCUGUUCACUGGCAAGUACCACGGGGAACCGGCCACGGUGUGGUCACACGGGAUACUCUUGCUUGUAAUACUCUUCUGGAAAUUUCAGAGGAGACGAGACCUUUGCAAAGAUCAAUGAUAAAAUCUGGACCAAAGAUGGCUUGUCACAAUGUGAGGUCUUCAUUUCAACUUCAUUUAUUUAUUCUAAAUCUUACUAGAACAAAUAUAUGAGGCAGAAAAAGCAACUUCUGAGUCUAGUGGCUUAGUUGAUGUACUUUUGAUAAAUUUACUGUCAAUCAGAAGAUUUUAGUGUGAAGUUUAAGGUAAUAAUCAGACUAAAAUCUCUCUAAAAUCUAGCGCUGUCACAUUGUGAAACUGAAUGAUUUGUAAAUUAUGCUUGGCGGGCCAUAUUAUACGCUUCAAUAGCUGUGGGCCAUUUGAAAUUCAUCCACGGGCUGGACUUUGGACACCCCUGCCUUAUCAUAUCUGAUAUUUUGAGAGACUUAGUGACUUUGUGAAUGUUUGAGUGUUUUUGCUCUAUAUUUCACCAAUAAAAAUGUCCAAAUAAAAAAGGGCA